AGCAGCGGGCGGCGGCCCACACCGUCGCUCCAAGCUCCCAGCAGGGUGGACGAGAAGAGCCCCACCAGGAAGCCGCCCACGUUCAUGUAGAGGGUCCAGUGGGAGGCUAGCCGAUAUUAACCAUCGCUAUCUACCGUUGAGGAAACGAGGUCAGCGGGUACUCAAGGCAGAGCUGGAAGAGCACAUGACUCCUGAUGCUGCUGAUGUUCUGCACUGUAACAGAAAGGCAGCUGGAGAGGAUCAGAGUGGGCUGAGCCCAGCUGCCUGGGUUGGAACACCUAGGCUCUGCCACUACCUUGGGCAUGCCACUUACCGCCCUGAGCCUCUGUUUUUUCGUCUGUAAAAUGGAGUUGCUAACAAAACAUGUCUCAAAAAGUUGUGGAAAAACAGUGUCUGGUAUAUUCAAAGUGCUAUUAUUGUUAUUAACAGGCUGUCACGUCUGGGAGUGGUGGCUUACACCUGUAAUCCCAGCCCUUGGGGAGGCUGAGGCGCAUGGAUCGCUUGAGCCCAGGAGUUUGAGACCAACCUGGGCAACAUGGUAAAACCCUGUCUCUACAAAAAAUACACAAAAAUUAGCCAGGUGUAGUAGCAGAUACCUGUAGUCCCAGGUACUCGGGAAGCUGAGGUGGGAGGAUCAAUUGAGCCCGGGAGGCAGAGGUAGCAGUGAGCUGAGAUCGCACCACUGUACUCCAGCCUGGGUGACACAGCAAGACCCUGUCUCAAAAAAUAUAAAAUAAAAAUAAAAUAAAAAACAA
Long non-coding RNA from Symphalangus syndactylus (siamang), 755 nucleotides. RefSeq lists it as uncharacterized. The record is from RefSeq and is a predicted model, not a curated record. Lineage: Eukaryota; Metazoa; Chordata; Mammalia; Primates; Hylobatidae.